CCCAGAGAGUGGGUUCUACGGAGCGCGAGAACGGCCAAGCGCGCGUCUGCGUGGUCUUAGCUCCCUGGUUCCUUGUCUUCCUCGUUAAGUCAGUACCUUGUAAUUUCCUGUCGAACCCAUUAACUGGGCCUUCCUGCACGGCGCGCUUUCGCAUCGCUUCUCAGUUACUCUAGACGUCUGCGAGUGUGUCGUUUUGUGCGUGUUUUGUUGUGAAACGAAAGCCAGCCCGUCUUCACUGCUAAAUUGUUCCCGAAAUUUGUAAACCCGCGCAGAUCGGGAUUCAGUAGGUGCAUUUCAUUAGGUGCAUUUAAAACGCCUACGACGCGCCAGACACAGGAACUGGGUUCGGGAUACAGUAAAGAGAGAACGUAGUCUUUGAGAAAUCCGGCAUGAAUUUCGCCAUACAGACCUGGAAGAGUUAGGAGUGGAAUCUGAGAUCCCUGAAACUGACUUUUACUGGAAGCAGCAUUUUGAAUUUUGCAUUGAUUGGUCAUUCUCCUGUCCCCAUUUCAAAACGCAAACAUAUGAAAUACAGCCGCAUAUAGUCAGUAGUCCUUUUGCCUUUUUUUUUUUUUAACUUCCUCUCCUGCUAAGCCCCCAAGCCUGUUGUUGCAGGAUUUUUUUUUUACGUCAAUACCCGGGGUUCAUCAUUGUCUUGCGGCUUUGAAGAAUGAAGAGGUGGAAACAAACUGAGCAGCAGGCAAAAGUUCAUUAGAAUGUAAGAAAGGAAGAAAAGUAUGGAAGCCCUCUUUUCAAAGAGGUGGCAUUCGAAAGUGAAUGCCCAGGACCUUAGGCAAGGGUACUUGCUUUAUGAGGUUCUGGUUGCCCUCCCUUCCCCCUGGUUCUUUCUCUCCUCCUGCCCAUAUUGGCUUGAUAACUAGGCGCUGGGUUGUCCAUUCCUGAUUGGCUCUUUUCCAUUGUAUGAGGGGUGGUCUAUGGCCAUACCCUUCCUGGUGGGUCACACGGUGUUGUGGUCUCGUUUGUUAGUCAGGCCUUUUGUCAGAUUUCUGAGGGAAAUCUGGGGGGUGGGUAGUGUCUGUUAGAUUCUUAAGAGGACCCUUGUGCCUGAGGGGGUUUGCUGUGGGCCUACACUCUGCAUUGUUCCAAAACUUGUGUUUUUCCCCACCCAGGGACCUUCGGUCUUAAUCUUUCCCUCUCUGCCUCUUGUAUCCUAUCUUUUGCCUGUCACUGUCAGCAAUUAUUAGGUGUUUGAUAAGUGCCAGCACCAUGGAUACAGUGAGCAGAUAAUGUGAGACUCCCCAAGUCUGUGAAGAAAACAAAAAUGGGUAACAUGGGUGCGGGCAGAGUUAACCAGAACAGAGAGAGACUGGAAGUUUAAUACAUUUACAUAGUUCCUUUUUAGCUUUGUGUGUGCUUUCAAAUUUCCAUUUGAAAAGUGUUGAGCUGCUGCUUUCUACUCAUAACUCCUCCUAAAAGGAUGCUGCUCACUUAGUUGGCGAUUUAGUUACCUAGUUAACUUUUGCUUAAAAAAAAAAAAAAAAAGCUGCAGGAUUUUUAAGGAUGAGAUUUAUUCCUGCCACUCUCAUGUUUGUGGCCGGAUUAAGAUUUGAACCGAAGAUUAGAAUACCUAAAGGCCACAGGGAAGGUACAAAGCGGCAUGGGGGUCAGAGAGUGGGGAUGAUGUGGAAAGACAAAGGAUUGAAGGCUGUGGCAACAUUUGAAACGGGAAAACACAACAAGAACAAUUAAAAGCAUCCCAAACAGGGAAGAUGAAAGAAAUGGAGAGGAAGGGCAGAGGCACAGAUGUCUCCUUGGCUGUUUUGGAAGUUAUCCUACCACAUUUGUAUCUUUGAAAGAGAAUGCGGUAGUUUCAGCAAAUGUGUAAUUAAAGUUAAUAAAAGUUAAUAUGCUAAGCA
Felis catus (domestic cat) is the source of this 1877-nucleotide long non-coding RNA. RefSeq lists it as uncharacterized. The transcript is spliced from 2 exons. Lineage: Eukaryota; Metazoa; Chordata; Mammalia; Carnivora; Felidae. The record is from RefSeq and is a predicted model, not a curated record.